RNA transcript from Camelina sativa (false flax), 1561 nucleotides. RefSeq lists it as uncharacterized. The record is from RefSeq and is a predicted model, not a curated record. Lineage: Eukaryota; Viridiplantae; Streptophyta; Magnoliopsida; Brassicales; Brassicaceae.
CUUGUUAGAAAUCGAGGAGAUGGAAGACGAAUUUGAAGUUGGUGGUUUUGGGGGGAAAUUUUGGUGGAAUCGAGGGUGAUUUUUUGAAAAUAAUGCUACAGUUUCCAAAUUAAUGAUGGAAAACUUUAUAGGGAUGAAAGAGGGGACAAGAAAAAGCAUAGGUUACAGACGGAAAAGUUGGCAGACGGAGAGGAGAGUAAUCAAGAUUAAUCAAGAAUGGAAGUUGAUGAUACUGUUAUCGUUCAACCUGGAAAGUGGAUACUGCACAACAAACGUGGAUGGGAAUUCAAGAUGGACACCAACUUACGGGGACGGUGUGCAAGAUUGUCGUCGUUAAGAUGUUUGAAGGAUCUCGUUGAAAGGAUUCGUGAGAUGUACGGAGGUGUUAGCUCAUCAUGUGGUGUAGGCUUAAGCUAUAUGUUUGAAGACAGACUAGCUCAGCUGAAUGGUUUUGCUACUGCACCAAUAGUAAUCAGGGACGACAGAGAGUUUAGGUGUUUCAAAUCGCUUAGUCUGGCAGAUAAAACCAUAAAUCUAUUUGUUUGUUUCAGAGAAAUGGGUGGACAGAUUAGUGGUUCGGUUGUUGAGAAUGUUGUGGGUGGUGAGGUUUCAGGGCUACUUCAACCUUCAAAAUCAAGUGCUGCUGUACGGACCAUCAACCUCUGGAUGAUACUAUUCAAAAUCAAGUGCUGCUUUAAUUCCUGCAAGGGGUAGCCCUGUGCUUGCUUUGCUAGAGUUUAUAAGGAAAAUGCUAGCUAGGUGGUUUGAGGCGAGGAGGAAAAAAAUAGCAAGAGCGGUUGGUGAUAUUCCAAUAGCAGUUGAAAGGGAGCUAUUAAAGCGUUUCAAAGGAGGAUAAGGUAUGACCGUGUUGGCUGUAGGAAUGUGGGAAUUUGAGGUGAUUACAAAGGAAGGGGGUCAGUUCGUUGUAUCAUUGAAAGACAAAACCUGCACCUGUUUGGAAUUUCAAAAAAUAAAACUACCCUGCACUCACGCUAUGGCUGCAGCUCAUGAUAGGGGUUUGGAGUACAGGACUCUUGUGGGAGAGAUGCACAAGAUAUCAAUAUGGUCUCCAACAGUGGACGCAGCUAUACUACCUGUGCAAGAUCCAGCAGAAGUGAAGUGAUGGUCCCUGACGAAAUAAGGGCUUUGUGUUUGAUCCCACCAAAAUCGAAAAGACCUGCUGGUAGGCCACCUAAGCUGCGUAUACAUUCUGCAGGGGAGUAUGAGGGUAAUAACAAGUCGAAGCAACCAAAUAAAUGUGGACGGUGUGGCGGGUUUGGGCACAACCGGGUUACAUGUUCAAACCCACUUGGUUGAGGAAAGUAUUGUCUUUUUGGAUUAUUAAUGGUAUAUAGCCGUGUGUAUGAGAAGUUUGUUGUAGAAGGUACAAUUAUUUUGGCGUAGACAUCAUUGUGAAAUCGGGAGAGCUCCAGAUUUCAGAGUAAUGUGUACUUCCGUAUGAGUGUUGUAAUUUUCUAGUUGGAAUUGUACGGAUCCUGUACUAAUAUGUGAAUCUUUUGUAAUCAAACUAAAUAUGUGAAAUAUUGUUGUUUUUUUUCAA